RNAcentral lists this ribosomal RNA (433 nucleotides) under uncultured bacterium. RNAcentral describes it as "partial 16S ribosomal RNA". It matches the Rfam family "Bacterial small subunit ribosomal RNA", at positions 29 to 507 of the family's 1533-position model. The record is from RNAcentral.
AGCGAACGCUGGCGGCAGGCUUAACACAUGCAAGUCGAGCGGGCACUUCGGUGUCAGCGGCAGACGGGUGAGUAACACGUGGGAACGUACCCUUUGGUUCGGAAUAACGCUGGGAAACUAGCGCUAAUACCGGAUACGCCCUUUUGGGGAAAGGCUUGCUGCCGAAGGAUCGUCCCGCGUCUGAUUAGCUAGUUGGUGGGGUAAUGGCCUACCAAGGCGACGAUCAGUAGCUGGUCUGAGAGGAUGAUCAGCCACACUGGGACUGAGACACGGCCCAGACUCCUACGGGAGGCAGCAGUGGGGAAUAUUGGACAAUGGGCGCAAGCCUGAUCCAGCCAUGCCGCGUGAGUGAUGAAGGCCUUAGGGUUGUAAAGCUCUUUUGUCCGGGACGAUAAUGACGGUACCGGAAGAAUAAGCCCCGGCUAACUUCGUG